GGCACGGUGGUGCAGUGGGUAGCACUGUUGCCUCUCAGCAAGAGGGCCCAUGGUUUGAAUCCAGUCUGGGCCU
This 73-nucleotide transfer RNA is filed under the name Anguilla anguilla (European eel). RNAcentral's name for it is "tRNA-OTHER". Lineage: Eukaryota; Metazoa; Chordata; Actinopteri; Anguilliformes; Anguillidae. The record is from RNAcentral.